AACGAACGCUGGCGGCAUGCCUAACACAUGCAAGUCGAACGAUUGCCUUCGGGUGAUAGUGGCGCACGGGUGCGUAACGCGUGGGAAUCUGCCCUUAGGUUCGGAAUAACAGCUGGAAACGGCUGCUAAUACCGGAUGAUAUCGCGAGAUCAAAGAUUUAUCGCCUGAGGAUGAGCCCGCGUUGGAUUAGGUAGUUGGUGGGGUAAAGGCCUACCAAGCCGACGAUCCAUAGCUGGUCUGAGAGGAUGAUCAGCCACACUGGGACUGAGACACGGCCCAGACUCCAACGGGAGGAAGAAGUGGGGAAUAUUGGAAAACGGGCGAAAGACUGAGCCAGCAAUGCCGCGUGAGUGAUGAAGGCCCUAGGGUUGUAAAGCUCUUUUACCCGGGAAGAUAAUGACUGUACCGGGAGAAUAAGACCCGGCUAACUCAGUG
This 435-nucleotide ribosomal RNA is filed under the name uncultured bacterium. Its description in RNAcentral is "partial 16S ribosomal RNA". It matches the Rfam family "Bacterial small subunit ribosomal RNA", at positions 29 to 507 of the family's 1533-position model. The record is from RNAcentral.